UACGGAGGGUGCAAGCGUUAUCCGGAUUCACUGGGUUUAAAGGGUGCGUAGGCGGGCAGGUAAGUCAGUGGUGAAAGCCUCCAGCUCAACUGGAGAACUGCCAUUGAUACUGCCGGGCUUGAGUACAGACGAGGUUGGCGGAAUUGAUUGUGUAGCGGUGAAAUGCAUAGAUACAAUCAAGAACUCCGAUUGCGUAGGCAGCUAACUAGGCUGUAACUGACGCUGAGGCACGAAAGCGUGGGGAGCGAACAGG
This 253-nucleotide ribosomal RNA is filed under the name uncultured bacterium. RNAcentral's name for it is "partial 16S ribosomal RNA". It matches the Rfam family "Bacterial small subunit ribosomal RNA", at positions 524 to 776 of the family's 1533-position model. The record is from RNAcentral.